Xenopus laevis (African clawed frog) is the source of this 928-nucleotide long non-coding RNA. RefSeq lists it as uncharacterized. The transcript is spliced from 4 exons. The record is from RefSeq and is a predicted model, not a curated record. NCBI's taxonomy places the organism in Eukaryota, Metazoa, Chordata, Amphibia, Anura, Pipidae.
UAUUCAGGGCAGUCAGGUGCAUGCAGUUCUGAACCCAAAGCGGCUCAAUAUUUUAUGGGGGGCAAGGUGCAUAGGGACAAUGGGAAUGGGAAGUGCCAGUACCAAUGUUUAUCGAUAUUGCCUGUAGGGGGUGUAAUAAUUAAUUUCAGGUGUGUGUAUGCAUUUAGGGAUGCACAAAAUCCACUAUUUUGGGAUUCAGGUAAAACCCGAACAUACAACUGACUACAUACAAAUGACUCAAUGUUUUCCUUAGAUCAUUGGAGAAGCCAUGUGAAAAUCAAACAGAUGGCACUUGCUCUAUACUGUGUAGACCAUUAAGUACAGUUUCAGAGAAUGUGUACAUCUGGUGCAGUUUGAUAGCAGUUCUGGCUGUUGUGCCGUUUGUAUUUCUUCUUUACUGUUGCAAAAGAAAAAAGGAACCGUUGGGGGAACAUGAAAUUAUUCUGGUCGAAAGUGAGACAACAGGUAAUUUAUUAAAACCCAAUGAAGCUGGUGGGAAGCCAAACAAUUUCACAAUAAGUCCUUCUUCAAACAAUGACAGUGGUAAGAAUUAAAAAUAUAAAAUGUUUCUAUAUUUUUCUAUAUUGUAUGGUGAUUGAUCCAAACCUACCUUUUAAGAUAAGAGAAUAGUCCCGAAGCAUGGUUUCUUGGAUUUUGGAUUUUGGAAGUGACAGGGAUAGCAAUGUCCUGGUGCACUCUGUUCAUAAAUGGGGGAGAUACUUGCUAGAGGUUGCGAUUAAUAGAUUGUAACUACUCACCCAAGCCUGUGCUACUGAAUUGAACAGGUUAUCCUUUUUUAUUAUGUAUGAAGCAUCUGCCCAUUAUGAGGGUUUUCUUUCUACUUUCAUGCAUAAGAGGGCCCAGUUUGGAAAACUAUUAAAGGGGUUUUUCACCUUUGAGUUAACUUUUACUAUGAUGUAGAUCAGGG